This is a long non-coding RNA of Gymnodraco acuticeps, 544 nucleotides long. RefSeq lists it as uncharacterized. Lineage: Eukaryota; Metazoa; Chordata; Actinopteri; Perciformes; Bathydraconidae. The record is from RefSeq and is a predicted model, not a curated record. The transcript is spliced from 2 exons.
AUGAUCAUCCUACAAGACGAGGUGCACGCAGGGGCACCUCAUACCAUGGACUGUCCAUCAAGGGAAAGCUCGUCCUAUCUUCGCUGCCUUUUUUCACCAACCUCUUAAUCUACCUCCUCAACAUUUUUCCUGGAAAGAGAAAAAGACCACCUUCAAACUGCAGUAAAAAAAAAAAGGGAGCUGUAUUCCACUCCUUAAUCCUCCUGGAUUCUCACAGUUUUCUGGAGGACAGCGGGGGUCACCGGGACAGUCAGCCAUGCACUUCCCAUGUCCGUCCGUGAAACAGUGAUUCCACAAUGCUUUGCUAAAGCUGGUAAAAUGGAACCAAAUCACCUCUUGAAAGGAUUUGGUCCCCUUCAACCAGCUGUAGCUAUGCUUUGAAGACUACAGGAGCUCCUUCUGCUGGGACGCCUUCAGCACAGUCACUGUAAUGGCAGCGAGCCACGUCAAGCUGAUGACUUUCUUCUACCAACGACAACUAAAGUGUACAGUAAUUGUCAUGUCUUGUUUUUCAAUAAUAAAGAAACCAAUACCAGCUUCAAAA